UCCGGUUUGUCACCGGCAGUCUCGCAUGAGUCCCCAACUAAAUGCUGGCAACAUGCGACGGGGGUUGCGCUCGUUGCGGGACUUAACCCAACAUCUCACGACACGAGCUGACGACAGCCAUGCACCACCUGUGAAGAUGCCCCGAAGGGAAGCCGUGUUUCCACGGCGGUCAUCCACAUGUCAAGCCCAGGUAAGGUGGGAUGACGUCCCAAGGUUGGUU
This 220-nucleotide unclassified non-coding RNA is filed under the name uncultured Solirubrobacteraceae bacterium. RNAcentral's name for it is "contains 16S-23S intergenic spacer region". The record is from RNAcentral. Lineage: Bacteria; Bacillati; Actinomycetota; Thermoleophilia; Solirubrobacterales; Solirubrobacteraceae.